RNAcentral lists this ribosomal RNA (440 nucleotides) under uncultured bacterium. Its description in RNAcentral is "partial 16S ribosomal RNA". It matches the Rfam family "Bacterial small subunit ribosomal RNA", at positions 338 to 795 of the family's 1533-position model. The record is from RNAcentral.
CCUACGGGAGGCAGCAGUGGGGAAUAUUGCACAAUGGGGGAAACCCUGAUGCAGCGACGCCGCGUGAGUGAAGAAGUAUUUCGGUAUGUAAAGCUCUAUCAGCAGGGAAGAAAAUGACGGUACCUGACUAAGAAGCCCCUGCUAACUACGUGCCAGCAGCCGCGGUAAUACGUAGGGGGCAAGCGUUAUCCGGAUUUACUGGGUGGAAAGGGAGCGUAGACGGCCAGACAAGUCAGAAGUGAAAGCCCAGGGCUCAACCCUGGGACUGCUUUGGAAACUGCCGGGCUGGAGUGCAGGAGAGGUAAGCGGAAUUCCUGGUGUAGCGGUGAAAUGCGUAGAUAUUAGGAGGAAUACCGGUGGCGAAGGCGGCCUACUGGACUGUGACUGACGUUGAGGCUCGAAAGCGUGGGGAGCAAACAGGAUUAGAUACCCCAGUAGUC